RNAcentral lists this transfer RNA (67 nucleotides) under Glypthelmins quieta. Its description in RNAcentral is "tRNA-Glu". Lineage: Eukaryota; Metazoa; Platyhelminthes; Trematoda; Plagiorchiida; Plagiorchiidae. The record is from RNAcentral.
GUUGUUCGGGUGUUGGGGUGCACGCUAGUUUUUCGUACUAGAGGGGGUUUAUAAUAAUCGAUCAAUA